RNAcentral lists this ribosomal RNA (399 nucleotides) under uncultured bacterium. RNAcentral describes it as "bacterial SSU rRNA". It matches the Rfam family "Bacterial small subunit ribosomal RNA", at positions 357 to 773 of the family's 1533-position model. The record is from RNAcentral.
GGGGAUAUUGCACAAUGGGGGAAACCCUGAUGCAGCGACGCCGCGUGAGGGAAGACGGUUUUCGGAUUGUAAACCUCUGUCUUUGGGGACGAAUUGAGACGGUACCCAAGGAGGAAGCUCCGGCUAACUACGUGCCAGCAGCCGCGGUAAUACGUAGGGAGCAAGCGUUGUCCGGAAUUACUGGGUGUAAAGGGAGCGUAGGCGGGAUAGUAAGUUGAUUGUUAAAACUAUCGGCUCAACUGGUAGAUGCGAUCAAAACUGCAAUUCUUGAGUGAAGUAGAGGCAGGCGGAAUUCCUAGUGUAGCGGUGAAAUGCGUAGAUAUUAGGAGGAACACCAGUGGCGAAGGCGGCCUGCUGGGCUUUAACUGACGCUGAGGCUCGAAAGUGUGGGUAGCAAAC